CCAAUUGAUUGAUGGUGCUUGCACCUGAUUGAUUUUCGUUUCCAACGAGUGGCGGACGGGUGAGUAACACGUAGGUAACCUGCCCAGAAGCGGGGGACAACAUUUGGAAACAGAUGCUAAUACCGCAUAACAACGUUGUUCGCAUGAACAACGCUUAAAAGAUGGCUUCUCGCUAUCACUUCUGGAUGGACCUGCGGUGCAUUAGCUUGUUGGUGGGGUAAUGGCCUACCAAGGCGAUGAUGCAUAGCCGAGUUGAGAGACUGAUCGGCCACAAUGGGACUGAGACACGGCCCAUACUCCUACGGGAGGCAGCAGUAGGGAAUCUUCCACAAUGGGCGCAAGCCUGAUGGAGCAACACCGCGUGAGUGAAGAAGGGUUUCGGCUCGUAAAGCUCUGUUGUUAAAGAAGAACACGUAUGAGAGUAACUGUUCAUACGUUGACGGUAUUUAACCAGAAAGUCACGGCUAACUACGUGCCAGCAGCCGCGGUAAUACGUAGGUGGCAAGCGUUAUCCGGAUUUAUUGGGCGUAAAGAGAGUGCAGGCGGUUUUCUAAGUCUGAUGUGAAAGCCUUCGGCUUAACCGGAGAAGUGCAUCGGAAACUGGAUAACUUGAGUGCAGAAGAGGGUAGUGGAACUCCAUGUGUAGCGGUGGAAUGCGUAGAUAUAUGGAAGAACACCAGUGGCGAAGGCGGCUACCUGGUCUGCAACUGACGCUGAGACUCGAAAGCAUGGGUAGCGGACAGGAUUAGAUACCCUGGUAG
RNAcentral lists this ribosomal RNA (761 nucleotides) under uncultured bacterium. RNAcentral's name for it is "bacterial SSU rRNA". It matches the Rfam family "Bacterial small subunit ribosomal RNA", at positions 62 to 793 of the family's 1533-position model. The record is from RNAcentral.